UACGUAGGGUGCGAGCGUUGUUCGGAUUCAUUGGGCGUAAAGGGUGCGUAGGCGGCGAGGCAAGUCUGAUGUGAAAUCCCGGGGCUCAACCCCGGAACUGCAUUGGAUACUGCCCUGCUAGAGUACUGGAGAGGAGAUUGGAAUUUACGGUGUAGCAGUGAAAUGCGUAGAUAUCGUAAGGAAGACCAGUGGCGAAGGCGGAUCUCUGGACAGCUACUGACACUGAGGCACGAAGGCCAGGGGAGCAAACGGG
RNAcentral lists this ribosomal RNA (253 nucleotides) under uncultured bacterium. RNAcentral describes it as "partial 16S ribosomal RNA". It matches the Rfam family "Bacterial small subunit ribosomal RNA", at positions 524 to 776 of the family's 1533-position model. The record is from RNAcentral.